GUCUGAUUAGAUAGUUGGUGAGGUAACGGUUCACCAAGUSGACGAUCAGUASCCGGAYUGAGAGGUUGAAGGSCCACAUUGGGAWUGAGACACGGCCCAGAYUCCUACGGGAGGCAGCAGUGGGGAAUAUUGCACAAUGGGGGAAACCCUGAUGCAGCGAUGCSGCGUGGAGGAAGAAGGUUUUCGGAUUGUAAACUCCUGUCUAAAGGACGAUAAUGACGUACCUU
RNAcentral lists this ribosomal RNA (227 nucleotides) under uncultured Bacillota bacterium. RNAcentral describes it as "uncultured Firmicutes bacterium partial 16S ribosomal RNA". Lineage: Bacteria; Bacillati; Bacillota. The record is from RNAcentral.